Molecule: ribosomal RNA, 253 nt
Filed under: uncultured bacterium
Lineage: Bacteria
Description: partial 16S ribosomal RNA
Rfam family: Bacterial small subunit ribosomal RNA
Source: RNAcentral
UACAGAGGCCUCGAGCGUUAGGCGGAAUCACUGGGCUUAAAGAGCGUGUAGGCGGCUCGGUAAGUCCGCUGUGAAAGUCCAGGGCUCAACCCUGGAAUGCCAGUGGAAACUGUCGAGCUAGAGUCCGGAAGAGGCGAGUGGAAUUCCUGGUGUAGCGGUGAAAUGCGCAGAUAUCAGGAGGAACACCAAUGGCGAAGGCAGCUCGCUGGGACGGUACUGACGCUGAGACGCGAAAGCGUGGGGAGCAAACAGG